GACGAACGCUGGCGGCGUGCCUAAUACAUGCAAGUUGAGCGAUGAAGAUUGGUGCUUGCACCAAUUUGAAGAGCAGCGAACGGGUGAGUAACGCGUGGGGAAUCUGCCUUUGAGCGGGGGGCAACAUUUGGAAACGAAUGCUAAUACCGCAUAACAACUUUAAACAUAAGUUUUAAGUUUGAAAGAUGCAAUUGCAUCACUCAAAGAUGAUCCCGCGUUGUAUUAGCUAGUUGGUGAGGUAAAGGCUCACCAAGGCGAUGAUACAUAGCCGACCUGAGAGGGUGAUCGGCCACAUUGGGACUGAGACACGGCCCAAACUCCUACGGGAGGCAGCAGUAGGGAAUCUUCGGCAAUGGACGAAAGUCUGACCGAGCAACGCCGCGUGAGUGAAGAAGGUUUUCGGAUCGUAAAACUCUGUUGGUAGAGAAGAACGUUGGUGAGAGUGGAAAGCUCAUCAAGUGACGGUAACUACCCAGAAAGGGACGGCGAACUACGU
RNAcentral lists this ribosomal RNA (496 nucleotides) under uncultured bacterium. Its description in RNAcentral is "partial 16S ribosomal RNA". It matches the Rfam family "Bacterial small subunit ribosomal RNA", at positions 28 to 506 of the family's 1533-position model. The record is from RNAcentral.